GCGGGUGUCGUAUAGUGGUUAUUACACUGCCUUGCCAAGGCAGAGACGGCGGUUCGAUUCCGCUCACCCGCU
Molecule: transfer RNA, 72 nt
Filed under: bacterium
Lineage: Bacteria
Also listed under: 2 other names
Description: tRNA-Gly
Rfam family: tRNA
About the family: Transfer RNA (tRNA) molecules are approximately 80 nucleotides in length.
Source: RNAcentral